This 372-nucleotide ribosomal RNA is filed under the name uncultured organism. RNAcentral describes it as "bacterial SSU rRNA". It matches the Rfam family "Bacterial small subunit ribosomal RNA", at positions 526 to 896 of the family's 1533-position model. The record is from RNAcentral.
CAGAGGGGGCAAGCGUUGUUCGGAAUUACUGGGCGUAAAGGGCGCGUAGGCGGCCUUCUAAGUCGAACGUGAAAUCCCCGGGCUCAACCCGGGAACUGCGUCCGAUACUGAAAGGCUUGAAUCCGGGAGAGGGAUGCGGAAUUCCAGGUGUAGCGGUGAAAUGCGUAGAUAUCUGGAGGAACACCGGUGGCGAAGGCGGCAUCCUGGACCGGAAUUGACGCUGAGGCGCGAAAGCCAGGGGAGCAAACGGGAUUAGAUACCCCGGUAGUCCUGGCCCUAAACGAUGAAUGCUUGGUGUGGCGGGUAUCGAUCCCUGCCGUGCCGAAGCUAACGCAUUAAGCAUUCCGCCUGGGGAGUACGGUCGCAAGGCUG